AUGGGCGCAAGCCUGAUCCAGCCAUGCCGCGUGCAGGAUGACGGUCCUAUGGAUUGUAAACUGCUUUUGUACAGGAAGAAACACUCCCUCGUGAGGGAGCUUGACGGUACUGUAAGAAUAAGGAUCGGCUAACUCCGUGCCAGCAGCCGCGGUAAUACGGAGGAUCCAAGCGUUAUCCGGAAUCAUUGGGUUUAAAGGGUCCGUAGGCGGUUUAAUAAGUCAGUGGUGAAAGCCCAUCGCUCAACGGUGGAACGGCCAUUGAUACUGUUAAACUUGAAUUAUUAGGAAGUAACUAGAAUAUGUAGUGUAGCGGUGAAAUGCUUAGAGAUUACAUGGAAUACCAAUUGCGAAGGCAGGUUACUACUAAUGGAUUGACGCUGAUGGACGAAAGCGUGGGUAGCGAACAGGAUUAGAUACCCUGGUAGUCCACGCCGUAAACGAUGGAUACUAGCUGUUGGGAGCAAUCUCAGUGGCUAAGCGAAAGUGAUAAGUAUCCCACCUGGGGAGUACGUUCGCAAGAAUGAAACUC
This 529-nucleotide ribosomal RNA is filed under the name Bacteroidetes bacterium zo34. Its description in RNAcentral is "bacterial SSU rRNA". It matches the Rfam family "Bacterial small subunit ribosomal RNA", at positions 371 to 902 of the family's 1533-position model. Lineage: Bacteria; Pseudomonadati; Bacteroidota. The record is from RNAcentral.